This 500-nucleotide ribosomal RNA is filed under the name uncultured bacterium. Its description in RNAcentral is "partial 16S ribosomal RNA". It matches the Rfam family "Bacterial small subunit ribosomal RNA", at positions 30 to 523 of the family's 1533-position model. The record is from RNAcentral.
AUUGAACGCUGGCGGCAGGCCUAACACAUGCAAGUCGAGCGGAUGAGAGGAGCUUGCUUCUCGAUUCAGCGGCGGACGGGUGAGUAAUGCCUAGGAAUCUGCCUAGUAGUGGGGGACAACGUUUCGAAAGGAACGCUAAUACCGCAUACGUCCUACGGGAGAAAGCGGGGGAUCUUCGGACCUCACGCUAUUAGAUGGGCCUAGGUCGGAUUAGCUAGUUGGUAGGGUAAAGGCCUACCAAGGCGACGAUCCGUAACUGGUCUGAGAGGAUGAGCAGUCACACGGGAACUGGGACACGGUCCAGACUCCUACGGGAGGCAGCAGUGGGGAAUAUUGGACAAUGGGCGCAAGCCUGAUCCAGCCAUGCCGCGUGUGUGAAGAAGGCCCUCGGGUUGUAAAGCACUUUAAGUUGGGAGGAAGGGCUUACAGCGAAUACCUGUGAGUUUUGACGUUACCGACAGAAUAAGCACCGGCUAACUUCGUGCCAGCAGCCGCAGUAA